UUUCCGUAGGUGAACCUGCGGAAGGAUCAAUCCAUAUAUUUAUUAUACACUUGUGUGUGUAAAUAUAAACCUUAUAAUUAAAACGGUAUUCGACACUUGAAAGAGUGUAGUCUCUUGUAGUUGAACUACAACUUUUAAUAGUUGAUCAACUAAAGAAAAAAACAUUUUACUAGCCAUUUGAAAUAAAACAAGAAAUUCACACAACUAUUAGUGGUGGAUCACUUGGCUCGCAGGUCGAUGAAGAACGCAGC
This 251-nucleotide unclassified non-coding RNA is filed under the name uncultured fungus. RNAcentral describes it as "sequence contains ITS1, 5.8S rRNA gene". The stretch from base 203 to 251 matches the Rfam family "5.8S ribosomal RNA", at positions 1 to 49 of the family's 154-position model. The record is from RNAcentral. Lineage: Eukaryota; Fungi.